Ictalurus furcatus (blue catfish) is the source of this 1244-nucleotide long non-coding RNA. RefSeq lists it as uncharacterized. NCBI's taxonomy places the organism in Eukaryota, Metazoa, Chordata, Actinopteri, Siluriformes, Ictaluridae. The record is from RefSeq and is a predicted model, not a curated record. The transcript is spliced from 2 exons.
UGCAUUCUAGACAUAAUAUCAUGGUUUCACCAAAUCUGCAUCAUUGUGUUGGCCAUGGGUUGCUAAGUAACAGCAACAGUUACGUUACUCUAAGCUGCUUUGAAGCAUCGUAAUUAGAUUACAAUAUAUUAGAAAAGAUUAUUGCGCCUUUUGGCCUGCUUUGGUCAGAUUUGAAAGAAAUAAGUGAGAUUAUAAUUAUUAUUAUGAUUAUACAUCAUUGGGGGUGCACGGUGGCUUAGUGGUUAGCAAGUUCGCGUCACACCUCCAGGGUCCGGGGUUCAAGUCCCGUCGGGGCCAUGUGUGUGCGGAGUUUGCAUGCUCUCCCUGUGCUGCGGGGGUUUCCUCCGGGUACUCCGGUUUCCUCCCCCAGUCCAAAGACAUGCAUGGUAGGCUGAUUGGCAUGUCUAAAGUGUCUGUAGUGUAUGAAUGGGUGUGUGAGUGUGUAUGUGAUUGUGCCCUGCGAUGGACUGGCACCCUGUCCAGGGUGUACCCCGCCUUGUGCCCCAUGUUCCCUGGGAUAGGCUCCAGGUUCCCUGUGACCCUGAAAAGGAGUAAGCGGUAGAGGAUGGAUGGAUGGAUGGAUCAUUCUGGAAAGUCUGCUCUUCCUCCUCCUGAAAGGCCGAAGAAAACUCUGCCUCACCUUUCAUCAUCACUCCUGCAAAGGGAACACGAGAUGUGGAGGAAUCUCUUCUUUCUGGUAAAAGAGUCGUUUGAAACACUCCCCCCCCUCCACAAUAUUGUCACCUACCAAUUCACUCCCACAAACUAUCAUACGACAGCUACCAACCAGGAAGGCUGAAAUCUAACUCGUGCUUCCUCCGAGACACGGGAAUCCAGCCAACUGCAUCUUUAUGAGCUGCUGCUCAUGCUGCCUCACAGGGCAGCGUAACACACUCAGACUGUCCACCCUUUUCCGCAUACAUGUGCUCACAGACACCUACGAUUGGUUAGUGUCCCUCUGAUUGACUGGGGAGAGAGAAUAAGCCCCUCCCUGUCCAAUUUUUCUUUUUCUCUCUGUUGAUAUGGUGAUAAGUUUUCUUUAAGGAGGCAUUUAUUUAGCAUUUUUGAAAGGAGUCUCCAGUAUCAGUGCAGAAUGUUGUGGUUUUCUCUGAUACUUCAAGAGAGAGGAAAAGAACAGAGGCUGGUGAGGAAAUGACUGCUUGCAGCUGCUGUAACGGAAGUGAUAACAGGAACUAACUUAUUUCAUGGACGUUGUACAACAAUUAAACGUAGGAUAAAAUGCA